UUAUUUCAUAGACUACUCAAA
Molecule: microRNA, 21 nt
Filed under: Physcomitrium patens
Lineage: Eukaryota; Viridiplantae; Streptophyta; Bryopsida; Funariales; Funariaceae
Description: ppt-miR1061-5p
Source: miRBase by way of RNAcentral